This 297-nucleotide unclassified non-coding RNA is filed under the name Melitaea cinxia (Glanville fritillary). RNAcentral describes it as "misc RNA ENSMCXG00005010184.1". Lineage: Eukaryota; Metazoa; Arthropoda; Insecta; Lepidoptera; Nymphalidae. The record is from RNAcentral.
CUCGAGUGAAAAGACAAAAUAGUGGCGCAGGAAAAUUCGCGGACGCAUCUAAAAUGCCACAGAUCAAGUUACUUCGGUUAUUUCUUCAGAUGUUUAAAAAUUUUUGGGAUGCGUCAUAUGUUGGGGGAGCACACCCUCUGCACCCCAACGUCCCGAAGGCGAUCGUGGCAUUGUAUAAAGAAAAAGUCGUCGAAUUCUUUAUUCCUGAUGUCGGGGACGACAAAGAUUUGUCAAAAUAAAUAUAGUGUUAUUUUUAUCACAGUAACGAAAUAUAUAAUUGUUUUAAUUUUUGGUGUG